GAUGAACGCUGGCGGCGUGCCUAAUACAUGCAAGUCGAGCGAAUGGAUUAAGAGCUUGCUCUUAUGAAGUUAGCGGCGGACGGGUGAGUAACACGUGGGUAACCUGCCCAUAAGACUGGGAUAACUCCGGGAAACCGGGGCUAAUACCGGAUAACAUUUUGAACCGCAUGGUUCGAAAUUGAAAGGCGGCUUCGGCUGUCACUUAUGGAUGGACCCGCGUCGCAUUAGCUAGUUGGGGAGGUAACGGCUCACCAAGGCAACGAUGCGUAGCCGAGCUGAGAGGGUGAUCGGCCACACUGGGACGGAGACACGGCCCAGGCUCCUACGGGAGGCAGCAGCAGGGAAUCUUCCGCAAUGGACGAAAGUCUGACGGAGCAAGGGCGCGUGAGUGAUGAAGGCUUUCGGGUCGUAAAACUCCGUUGUUAGGGAAGAACAAGUGCUAGUUGAAUAAGCUGGCACCUUGACGGUACCUAACCAGAAAGCCACGGCUAACUACGUGCCAGCCGCCGCGGUAA
This 515-nucleotide ribosomal RNA is filed under the name uncultured bacterium. Its description in RNAcentral is "partial 16S ribosomal RNA". It matches the Rfam family "Bacterial small subunit ribosomal RNA", at positions 28 to 523 of the family's 1533-position model. The record is from RNAcentral.